Molecule: long non-coding RNA, 335 nt
Filed under: Androctonus crassicauda
Lineage: Eukaryota; Metazoa; Arthropoda; Arachnida; Scorpiones; Buthidae
Source: RNAcentral
UUAUCUAAAUAUAUUUUGAUAUGUAUUUAAAAAUAAUCUAAUAAUAUAGUUUUGCUUUUUUUAAAACCAAUACUCUCCCAUAGUACAGUACUAGACUUUUUCAGACAAUCCAGCAAUCUACUUGGGACAUGCACACUCUGAAACCCACACAACUAAGUUGGUCGGACAGUAGUUUGUAUCAAGUAUUGGCAGAGACCUGUUGUUUAGUUUAUGUACAUUGCAUAGUUUCCUUGCAACUAAUAAAUAUGUUCACUAAAGGAAAAAGGAAUCAAAAUGUUUUAUCUAUUGAAACCAAAGUUAACAUAAUAAAUCGAUUAGAAAAAGGUGAAACCAUA